UUAAUGCAAAUUUUAAAGCUAUCAAUUAACCAUGAAUUCCCAAUCCAUUGAAAAUCACUUAGUGGUGUCAGCCUGUUGUUAGGGACUGACCUGCAAUUGCUCUAACAUUUGGAUCUUCUGUUCACAGCGCCAGACUGGAAAAGAGCUGAGUGCGUGUAAGUGAUGUAACUGAGGCACAGGCAGAAGGCACAGUGCCCAGACGAAGCAAGACUUUCACAGUCACCAAAUCAGUAAGGUUGGACCUAUAAGGACCACCCAGUCCAACCAUCUCCAGGACUACCAAAAUGGCAACUUCAUAAGACUGAAUACACAGGGAAGGACAAGAAAAACAGAACAAAUCCCAUACACCGCUAGCAUUGUUGAACAGCUAUUCAUGCUUAUGAGAUAAAAUUUCUAUAGCACCCAGUGUUUUGCUGAACUAUUAUAUAUUCCCUGAUACUAUUUUCUACGUCAUCUCCAGCAUCUCAGGCAUAGUAUCUUUAAAAAUAAUUUUGCUGCAAUAUUAGAAUGAAAUAGAGGGAGCCCACACUUUACAGAUAUUCCUCCUUAUCCAUUUGACAGUGCAUCCAAAUGCCCUGGUAACUGAAACAGCAGCAUGCCUUAGUGUCCCAGGUAACUGCACAAGACACUUGCUAGGAAACCUGUUCACAAACUGCUUUUUAAUCUGGUUUUAUGCUUUUGUUCACUCGUCCUUCUUUAAAAGUGGUGCUGAAGGGAAUUAUGUGACUUGUGUCGGGUUGCCUACAUCAGCUCCAGAGAAUAAAAGCCUGAGCCCAAGGCUCUCUGACCUCAGCUGCUCUACUGGCUGCCAAAACCCCAUCAGUUUGGUAGAGGGCACUCACUGGGAGGAGGCAGAAAGUCACACCUGUGUUCUUACAUUGCUCUCUGAACGCACUUGGAAAUGAAGAUCAAAGCAAAUUGUAGAAAAACGGAGCUUGAAGAACAGAGUUGUGGAAGCAGAUUGUUACCCGGCUCCUGCCAGCUCAGAGGGAAGAACAACUGAAUGAAGGGAGAGCAAUUCCCUUCCCAGACACAGCCCAAACCAAUGCUGAGGCUGCACUAUGGACAGAUCCAGGCCAGCGGGUGCUGGGAGUGGCACCACACACUUUGUGUAUGCACUGACAACACAGUCUUUGCUGAAAUGACUUCUUUUAAUCUAAACCCAAUCACUGCUUUGUAUCAUCACAGCGUAGCACUUUGUGCACUUCGGUCUAUGGCAGAUCGCUCAGCUCACGGGAGGGCUUUUCAAUAAACAAUGGCCAAGGCUUCUGUUCUGGUAGCACUGCUGCUGCCAGCUAUCCCUCCAAUCUGGGAUAGACUGCAGGGAUCAUCAUUUCUUUUUCAUGUGUUUAUAUGGCAUCUGGAAUCUCAAGCUUCUUGCCAUAACCGCAAACGCUAAUAAAAUGGCAACGUCUGCAACGCAUUUAUUGCUCUGAAAGAACACAAAAACCAUCUGGAAACUGCAAAUAUAUCAAGUUUAUUAAGAAAGGCAAAAUGGACCCUUUUUGUGCUAUUAGUACUACUGGCUUGUAAUCCCUUGAUGCAGUUUAGACAUCACAGGGUUUCUGAUUUUGUAUUCUGCCCAGAGGAUGAUAUAAAAGCCACUAUUGAUUUCUAUUCCCUGUAAGCAGGCUUCAUCUCUAUGUAAAUUAAAGAUUCUACAGUGUAUUUCACAUUAAAGAUUAGUUGUCAUUCCAGCGUUGAUCUAUUCUUUCACCAGCAGGGUGACAUAUUGGCAAGUUCCAGACAAUGAAAGAAGGAGUGCUGCACUUAAAUGAUGCUUCAGAAACCAUCAAUUGCCUUCAUCAUUUCAGGGGAUGAAUUAUCACUAUUUUUUUUCCACUGGAAAGGCACAGCUGAAGAUGCCAACAUCUUCCAUCUACUAACUAUGCAAGUCCUUUGUGCGUCCAGAGAAAUUCCAGACAUGAGAGAGGAAAAAAAGAAGCCAUAUGAAUGUGCUAGGACAUAGUAUUAAUCCAACACCUCAGCUGGCUUCUCCCUUAACCACAUUAUUUGGGAGUAGGGAACACGGGCACUGCAAGAGAGCUCUAACUGUACCUCAGUGAGGGAGUUUCCUAGGGGCUCUUCCCUUGGAGAUCAGGAACCAUUUGCUUUCUCAUAGCAUGACAGGAUUCACAGCUGAUCAGUCACUGUAUUUCAGGAGUGGGACCUUAGACCCAUCUCAGAGGCCCUUGCCACAUGCUGGAGAACAACCUUAGCAGUGACACCAAAUACUGGAUGCAGCCCUGAGCAGUUCUGGUGCAACCCACACAACUAAAGUCCCUUCCAAGCUGGGAUCCUAUGAAAGAGGAGCACUUUGCCUCUUCAGUCCUUCUCUAAUGGGCAGACACACAGCUCUCCCCUCCCCCUUGAUUACCAGCCUUUUCAAGCCAAAUGGUGCCCUCGGGUUAUUGCUCAUUAGGCUGCUGAGGUAGGAAUUUACAGGGGACCUCCUUUAGCAGGGAGGUGGACUAGAUGGUCUGUGAAAUCUCUGAGCAUACCAAAUUCACUGCACUUCUCCCAGGCAAGGCUAGAGAGAAACCAACAAGGUUUUCUGGUUUGGGUAUAUUCCCCUCAGCUACAGCCAUUGAAACUCUACUGUGUGAAUGCAGUAUGUACAGCUAAUUAUCUUAGUGACUUACAUUGCUGCAUAACAGAAGAAGAGCAGCACGCACACUGCCAGCCAUGCACAAUCUCCCCUGCAGAAAGAGGAAAUUCCACCAUUUUUAACUCAGUGGUUCCAUUUACAGACCAAGCAUAAAUGCUCAUCUUCCCCAGAGCCCGAGCAUGUAUCAAGAAGAAAUGCUUGCAGCAUCAACACAAAGCUUCUGCAAUCAGCACCCAGCUUCCAUGGAGGCCUUUUCUACAUGUGUGUGCAGCCAUAGAAUCAUGGAGCACCCCGAGCUGGAAGGGACCCUCAAUAUAACUGACUCCUGGCUCCCCAGAGGAACACUGCAUGGUAUCACCCAGCUACUGGCAGAGCAGCAGUUAAAAUCAGCAUCUGCAUAGGACCAUUCCCAGCACCCUUAUCCCCUUAGAGCUAUCAGAUCAGCACAGCAGAGCUCACAUUAGAGCUUGUGCUAGUAGCCGAGUUUCUCUUUGCUUCAGAACCUCGGCAGCCAAGGAAAGUUUCCUCGUGGGGAUGAGGUGAAAGGUAUGUGGGUUUUGUGAGACAAUCAACAGUUUUAAAGACACGGAAAUCUCACCAGGUGAUGUAGAAAUGCUUACUCUGUGGUUGCACAGUAGUGACUCCAUAGUAGAACUAAAUGAUGGCAUUAAGAGUUUGGGGAACAGCAAAAUGCACGAAUCUCUGUAUCUUCAUCUCUCUUGUGGGUUAUCAUCACACAGAUUAGCCUUAAUUAGAACAAACUCUUUGAUUGCCUCUUUUGUCCGCUGGAGGUCAGUAUCCUACAGAAAUACAACUCCUCUUUCCUGGUGUAAGGGUUUGCAGAGGAUAACAAUCUCGUAGCAGCAUCCGAUUUUUCUGUCAUAGGAUUUUAAGGUUUCUGGUACAAUGAGAUGAAAACAGAAGCCUGUUCUGAGUCCUGCACUGCCAAGGGAAGAUCUCCCUUCUCAAUCAACCUGGCAUUUUCCGACUAUCACAUGAAGAAUUCAGCAAACUUCAGACUUACUCAUUUCCGAGGUGCACACCUGGCCUUGUAUUUUAGACAGAUGCCAAAGCAUAACUGCUUGAUGAUAGAUUUUUUUUGCUACCUAUUUAAUCUUACUUGGCUCAUUUUGCAGGAUUAGCUCCAGAGCCGCCGGCUGUUUGGGCUGCUGCACAAACUGUGUAGGAACGCAACGCUGCACCACGCUGCUUUCAAAACCCAUCUGCAAUGCUCCAUCAUCGAUCAGCAGCACCUUGCUUGGCACAUCAAAGAGGUGGCCUUUUGCCUCUCCACAGCCUAGCGACACAUAAUGCUGAAGAAUCACAAUAGUAGAUUAAAGUGUGUCCUGGAAACAUAAAUGGAUGUGCAAACAGCUGUUUGGCAGUGCAGUAUCACAGCCACCUUUCAGGCACUGUCCAUAUCAGCACUGGAUUACAUUCUGAGGAAAAUCUCCUGCUCAUUCUUACUUGCCAUGCUUUAAUUCACAUGAUGGAGCAGUGCAUGGAUUCAGUUCCUUCCCGCUGAAUGUUCUCACUGAAGCGGGUUUUUUGUCCACAGAUCAAGACUAGAGAUAGAAUAAGGUGAAUUCUUGAAACGGGGAUAGGACUGACCAGCACCGCCUGCUCCAACUUAUGGACUCGCUCUCUCUGAAGUUCACUUAACACAGAGACAGCUGACGUGCUAGUUGGCCUCAUGGCUGCCUAAGCAGCAGUUUCGCCUGUCUGCAGUAGUGUGCUUGUCAUCUGUAGAUCUGAAGGUAGUUUGAGUAGAGAGAAAGUAAUGCUUUGAAGGACCCCACUGUCUGUCUAUUGAAACACCAAGUGGAAAACACGAGGCAUAAAGUCUGAGCCGAUGCAACAGUCCCUGAAGAGCUGUAUCUGAAGAGCUGUAACUUUCAAACUUUACAUUAACUUCUAUUCUAACACACUGAUGGUGCCCUGAUAUCUUUAGUUCUGUUCUGUCAAGAAAACAUGUUGUAAGGGGUCAGUCACUGUCCCAGGAGGUGUUUAAUAAACAUGGAGAUGUGGCACUGAGGGACGCGGUCAGUGGGCACUGGGGAGAAGGGUUGGGGCAGAACUGGAUGAUCUUAGAGGUUUUUUCCAGUGUUAAUGGUUUUAUCAUUCUAUGUUUUACCCACAAAUUCCUUAAAUAUCCUACCACCUUGAACCCGUGGCUUACUUUCUGCACAGAAGACAUUCCUGGUUCACUGGACUCCUUUUAAUAGCUCUUGCAUUCAUGAAUUUUGAAAGGGAUCUAUUUAUCAUUUAAAUGUCAUGUUAACUCUAUUCAUCCUAAUCCAGUAGCAAGGCACUGCCAGCACUGUUUGUGCUCCCAUGUCUCAUCUGAUCAGUGAAGGAAAUAAAAGCUGAAGCGGACAAAAGGAUGGAUUGAAAAUAAAGGUCAUUACAUAUUGGAAUUGAUAAGGUGAAGAAAAUGAAAUACAUAAGGUAAUCUCCAGGGAGAAGGUUAAAACUUAGCCUCACAGGGGAGUUCUGUAUGGAGAUGGAAUAAAACAAAGAAGUAUCAUCAAU
This is a non-coding RNA of Coturnix japonica (Japanese quail), 5140 nucleotides long. The record is from RefSeq and is a predicted model, not a curated record. NCBI's taxonomy places the organism in Eukaryota, Metazoa, Chordata, Aves, Galliformes, Phasianidae.